RNAcentral lists this ribosomal RNA (578 nucleotides) under uncultured archaeon. Its description in RNAcentral is "bacterial SSU rRNA". It matches the Rfam family "Archaeal small subunit ribosomal RNA", at positions 1 to 587 of the family's 1478-position model. The record is from RNAcentral.
UCCGGUUGAUCCUGCCGGACCUGACUGCUAUCGGAUUGAUACUAAGCCAUGCGAGUCAUUGUAGUAAUACAAGGCAGACGGCUCAGUAACACGUAGCCAACCUACCCUAUGGACGGGGAUAACCUCGGGAAACUGAGGAUAAACCCCGAUAGAUCAUUAUACCUGGAACGGUUUAUGGUCCAAAUGAUUCGUCGCCGUAGGAUGGGACUGCGGCCUAUCAGCUUGUUGGUGAGGUAAUGGCCCACCAAGGCUAUUACAGGUACGGGCUCUGAGAGGAGAAGCCCGGAGAUGGGUACUGAGACACGGACCCAGGCCCUAUGGGGCGCAGCAGGCGAGAAAACUUUGCAAUGUGCGCAAGCACGACAAGGUUAAUCCGAGUGUUUCCUGCUAAAGGAAUCUUUUGCUAGUCCUAAAAACACUAGCGAAUAAGGGGUGGGCAAGUUCUGGUGUCAGCCGCCGCGGUAAAACCAGCACCUCAAGUGGUCAGGAGGAUUAUUGGGCCUAAAGCAUCCGUAGCCUGCUCUGUAAGUUUCCGGUUAAAUCCAUUAGCUCAACUAAUGGCCUGCCGAAAAUACUGC